RNAcentral lists this non-coding RNA (24 nucleotides) under Rattus norvegicus (Norway rat). Lineage: Eukaryota; Metazoa; Chordata; Mammalia; Rodentia; Muridae. The record is from RNAcentral.
UGCUGGCGUGGAUGUAUGUUUGUC